GAUGAACGCUGGCGGCGUGCCUAAUACAUGCAAGUCGAGCGACCGGACGAGAAGCUUGCUUUUCUGAUGUUAGCGGCGGACGGGUGAGUAACACGUGGAUAACCUACCUAUAAGACUGGGAUAACUUCGGGAAACCGGAGCUAAUACCGGAUAAUAUUUUGAACCGCAUGGUUCAAAAGUGAAAGACGGUCUUGCUGUCACUUAUAGAUGGAUCCGCGCUGCAUUAGCUAGUUGGUAAGGUAACGGCUUACCAAGGCAACGAUGCAUAGCCGACCUGAGAGGGUGAUCGGCCACACUGGAACUGAGACACGGUCCAGACUCCUACGGGAGGCAGCAGUAGGGAAUCUUCCGCAAUGGGCGAAAGCCUGACGGAGCAACGCCGCGUGAGUGAUGAAGGUCUUCGGAUCGUAAAACUCUGUUAUUAGGGAAGAACAUAUGUGUAAGUAACUGUGCACAUCUUGACGGUACCUAAUCAGAAAGCCACGGCUAACUACGUG
Molecule: ribosomal RNA, 497 nt
Filed under: uncultured bacterium
Lineage: Bacteria
Description: partial 16S ribosomal RNA
Rfam family: Bacterial small subunit ribosomal RNA
Source: RNAcentral